GCGGCUGUGGCUCAGUGGUACAGCACCCACCUCGCAGGUGUGAGACCCUGGGUUCAAUCCUCAGCACCACA
RNAcentral lists this transfer RNA (71 nucleotides) under Marmota monax (woodchuck). It matches the Rfam family "tRNA". Rfam says of the family: Transfer RNA (tRNA) molecules are approximately 80 nucleotides in length. Their secondary structure includes four short double-helical elements and three loops (D, anti-codon, and T loops). Further hydrogen bonds mediate the characteristic L-shaped molecular structure. tRNAs have two regions of fundamental functional importance: the anti-codon, which is responsible for specific mRNA codon recognition, and the 3' end, to which the tRNAs corresponding amino acid is attached (by aminoacyl-tRNA synthetases). tRNAs cope with the degeneracy of the genetic code in two manners: having more than one tRNA (with a specific anti-codon) for a particular amino acid; and 'wobble' base-pairing, i.e. permitting non-standard base-pairing at the 3rd anti-codon position. Lineage: Eukaryota; Metazoa; Chordata; Mammalia; Rodentia; Sciuridae. The record is from Rfam by way of RNAcentral.